This 253-nucleotide ribosomal RNA is filed under the name uncultured bacterium. Its description in RNAcentral is "partial 16S ribosomal RNA". It matches the Rfam family "Bacterial small subunit ribosomal RNA", at positions 524 to 776 of the family's 1533-position model. The record is from RNAcentral.
UACGUAGGGGGCAAGCGUUGUCCGGAUUUAUUGGGCGUAAAGAGCGUGUAGGCGGUCAGGUAGGUCCGUUGUGAAAACUCGAGGCUCAACCUCGAGACGCCGAUGGAAACCAUCUGACUAGAGUCCGGAAGAGGAGAGUGGAAUUCCUGGUGUAGCGGUGAAAUGCGCAGAUAUCAGGAAGAACACCCGUGGCGAAGGCGGCUCACUGGCCCGGUACUGACGCUGAGGUGUGAAAGCGUGGGGAGCAAACAGG